UACAGGGGGGGCAAGCGUUGUUCGGAAUUACUGGGCGUAAAGGGCUCGUAGGCGGCCAACUAAGUCAGACGUGAAAUCCCUCAGCUUAACUGGGGAACUGCGUCUGAUACUGGAUGGCUUGGAUUCGGGAGAGGAAUGCGGAAUUCCAGGUGUAGCGGUGAAAUGCGUAGAUAUGUGGAGGAACACCUGUGGCGAAGGCGGCAUCCUGGACCGGCAUUGACGCUGAGGAGCGAAAGCCAGGGGAGCAAACGGG
This 253-nucleotide ribosomal RNA is filed under the name uncultured bacterium. RNAcentral's name for it is "partial 16S ribosomal RNA". It matches the Rfam family "Bacterial small subunit ribosomal RNA", at positions 524 to 776 of the family's 1533-position model. The record is from RNAcentral.